GAGAUAGGAACUUUUCCUGAUGAAAGUAAAGAAGGUUCUUUAUUUUCAUGGGGACGAGUCCCUAUCAUGAUUAUAGUGGUGCAGACGUAUCCAUCUUCCAAUAGAGUCUAUAAUUGCUAUUAUAGAUUUUUUAACGUCAAACCAUUAUUUGUUUUCAUUCAUCUCAUUUGCCAUGUAUUCUUGUUUGCGCCUCAUCCCGUUAUGCGCAGACGUAUAGACAUGAUGGCGACGCUGAAAUUAUUUUCAGCGUAUUUUUUUU
Listeria grayi DSM 20601 is the source of this 259-nucleotide small RNA. It matches the Rfam family "Listeria Hfq binding LhrA". From Rfam's summary of the family: This RNA was identifed by screening for RNA molecules which co-immunoprecipitated with the RNA chaperone Hfq. The record is from Rfam. Lineage: Bacteria; Bacillati; Bacillota; Bacilli; Caryophanales; Listeriaceae.